This is a long non-coding RNA of Parasteatoda tepidariorum (common house spider), 581 nucleotides long. NCBI's taxonomy places the organism in Eukaryota, Metazoa, Arthropoda, Arachnida, Araneae, Theridiidae. The record is from RefSeq and is a predicted model, not a curated record.
CCAUAUCAUUUGACCUCUACCCUCCAAUGGUUUCUUACUUCACACUAUCUAUUCUAAAUAUGUUCUCUGAAUGUAGAUAUUCGAAACAUAGAUAGUCUCAGCGAUUAAGAGUGUUCCAUAUCUCCACAGAUGUUUAAGUAAGUGGACAGUUAUCAAAGAUUUUCAUUUUUAUCCUUUUUGAAGUUGAGAUUUCGGGGAACGAAAAUGAUUCAACUGAAUUUAGCUUUCUUUGUUUUCGGACUAUUAUUUUGUGUUACGUCUACGUUUUUUAUAGGAUUAUUUUGCUCAGUUGUCCGAGUGAUUAGGGCCCGUUUGGAUGUUUUUAACAUGGUUAAUCGAGUGUGAGUACCGCUGGUCAUAUUUAGAUGCUGACAUAUCAAAUUGGAGUAAUUUUGAAGACUACAAAACUUUUGCUCCUUCGAAAAUUUCAGGAAAUACAGAUUCAACCUUGACUCGACAUCGUAUCUAUUUAAAGGUAAGUAAUGUAAAAGAAGAGUUUAAUAAUUUUCGUGUUCAUAUUAACCGGCAUUUAUAUAAACUUCAAGAAAACACAAAGAAUACGCUAUAUAAAUAAAGUCAUA